Etheostoma spectabile (orangethroat darter) is the source of this 1150-nucleotide long non-coding RNA. RefSeq lists it as uncharacterized. The transcript has 3 exons. NCBI's taxonomy places the organism in Eukaryota, Metazoa, Chordata, Actinopteri, Perciformes, Percidae. The record is from RefSeq and is a predicted model, not a curated record.
AAGGCACAGCUGAAAAGACUGGAGUUGGUCCCCGGGCCCCUGUGGCUGCCAACUAAUCCUGUGUUGACAAAUUUAAUUUCUCUGUGAAUGACAAGAAAAGCACAUUUAAACUUUAAGCACCUUUAAACUAUGACAUAUGCUGCAUAAACUAAUUAAAGAACUGUGUAGGUAUAACCUAGUAUUAUUAACCUUAUGCACUCACAUUUGAAUAUACUUUGUACUUUUAUGCACUAAAAUGAUAAGGGUCCCAUCCAAACCUUGUCACUACUUCAAGAAAAGUCUUGAAUCAUGUUCAAUUUCACUCAGCGUUAUCAUUACGUUUGUUUCCUUUUUUGUGUACAGGCAACCCACAAGCAUGUUUUUUUUAGUUGUACUUUUGCUCACAAUUGUUUAAUCUUGUAAACACUGUACUUCCCAUGCAUUUUGUGUGUUCUUUGUAUGUAUAUAUGAUCUCAUUGACUUGUAUCUGUUCUUCUCGUACACAGCACUUUAUGAACCUGGUUUUAAAAUGUGCUGAAUGAAUCAAAAGCUGCUUUUGCACCAAGAGCAUAUUUGAAGAUUGUACAGUUCAAUCUUGAUGCCUGAAAUACCUGACAUUAAUGUUUAAAUUAAUUUAUUCAUUGUUAAACAACAGUGUACAAAUAAUAAAAUCUUCUGAGUUAAUGUUGUUACUGCUUAGAAACACAUCACAACUAGGAAACACGGUGAAGAAUUUCAAUUCAUUUUGAACGUUAUACACAGUACAUUAAUACAAAUAUUUUUUUUCAGAACAGAUUAUAUUUUUACAAUUUGGUACACAAGUUUGUUUUUCAAAAAUGACACAUUUGAACAGCUAAACGUGCAAAUCACUGAAUAGUCUCCUGCUGUUUUCAAAAAAAUAAAAUACAUGGAGUAUAACUUUACUUCUUAAGCCAGUUCAUUCAACACACUGCUCAUGAAUGACAUAAUUUCUGAACAUAGAUGUAUGACAACUAGGCCAUAUGUACAGUGUUGUGUUUCUCAAAAUACAAAAUAUAUUCAAUUAUUCUUUCUUACAGAUUGUGUGUGUGUGUGUGUGAGAGAGAGAGAAAGAGAGAAGGCAGACAGAGUUGUUUGCAUAUGAACAUUGAGGCAAAUCAACAAAUAUAACUCAAAUAAAUAUGAAUGACUA